This 465-nucleotide ribosomal RNA is filed under the name uncultured bacterium. RNAcentral describes it as "partial 16S ribosomal RNA". It matches the Rfam family "Bacterial small subunit ribosomal RNA", at positions 338 to 795 of the family's 1533-position model. The record is from RNAcentral.
CCUACGGGAGGCAGCAGUAGGGAAUCUUCCACAAUGGGCGAAAGCCUGAUGGAGCAACGCCGCGUGGGUGAAGAAGGUCUUCGGAUCGUAAAACCCUGUUGUUAGAGAAGAAAGUGCGUGAGAGUAACUGUUCACGUUUCGACGGUAUCUAACCAGAAAGCCACGGCUAACUACGUGACAGCAGCCGCGGGAAUACGUAGGUGGCAAGCGUUAUCCGGAUUUAUUGGGCGUAAAGGGAACGCAGGCGGUCUUUUAAGGCUGAUGUGAAAGCCUUCGGCUUAACCGGAGUAGUGCAUUGGAAACUGGGAGACUUGAGUGCAGAAGAGGAGAGUGGAACUCCAUGUGUAGCGGUGAAAUGCGUAGAUAUAUGGAAGAACACCAGUGGCGAAAGCGGCUCUCUGGUCUGUAACUGACGCUGAGGUUCGAAAGCGUGGGUAGCAAACAGGAUUAGAUACCCCGGUAGUC